Non-coding RNA from Parasteatoda tepidariorum (common house spider), 164 nucleotides. The record is from RefSeq and is a predicted model, not a curated record. NCBI's taxonomy places the organism in Eukaryota, Metazoa, Arthropoda, Arachnida, Araneae, Theridiidae.
UUUUCCAGAUCAAUUGGUUCUCCAGUAUUAAAAUAAAAUGGCCAGUGCUGAAUAUAUAAAGGUUUUAACGCGGGCACGAAAUGCAUUUAAAGGUGGAGUUACUAAAAAUGUUGCUUUUCGUAUUCAACAGUUGAAAAACAUGUACAGAAUGUUAGAAGAAAAUG